This is a long non-coding RNA of Oncorhynchus kisutch (coho salmon), 1966 nucleotides long. The record is from Ensembl. NCBI's taxonomy places the organism in Eukaryota, Metazoa, Chordata, Actinopteri, Salmoniformes, Salmonidae.
GAGAGAGAGAGAGAGAGAGAGAGAGAGAGAGAGAGAGAGAGAGAGAGAGAGAGAGAGAGAGAGAGAGAGAGAGAGAGAGGGAAAAACACAUUUCUCAUUAGUAUUAUUGUAGACAGACACAUUACCAAUCAUCCUGCACCGGUUGAGGGAGUAUUAGGACUGAACCAAAUCUAUUACUUCAAAGCCAAGUUACAUAACACCCCUCGCACCGGUAACCCGAGAGGCAGGCGGGACGCCUGGAAUAUGGCCCAGCUGGUUCCUGAUGUUGCUAAUUGGUGCAAACGAGGGGGACCUGUGAUUGCGUGGCCAUGAAAACAAAACCCCCAGUAACAGGCUCGUGACAGGGCGGGGGACCCAGGGUUAAGGAGCUGCUUCCACCAAACUGUGACCUCUCACUCAACCAGGACCCAGCGGUGGGGGGCGAACAGGGACUCCGAACAGGGACUCCAACCAGGGACUCCAACCAGGGACUCCAACAAUGGACUCCACAGGCUCUUAUAGAUGUACAGACACAGGGAGAGGCUUUUUACGGACUUACUCAAUUUAGAGUAAUCAUUCUGCCUUUAGGUGUAGACAUGCCUAACAUCCUUAUACAGCCAUAACUGUCACUUGAAGUGAGCUUUUUAUGAUCAUGUAAUAACCGAGGGGUGGUAGACGAAGUGUCAGUGUUUUUAGCUAGACUUUUGCCAAGUAAGUGAUGAUAAGAAAGAUCGUAAUGAUGCUGAUGGGGAUGAGUGAAUACCGCCAGUGUUAUUGAUGAUUAGUCGAUUCUGGAGGAUUGCUAAUUUCCAGGGUAAUAUAGUCACCACACAGAAACAACUGACAGAGCUCCGGUAUUAUCCAUUUGAACAGCUGAAUACACACUGAGGCCACUCACUUUCAGUGGCUGGCUCAAGUUCUCGCACCCGUGUGACAACCUCUAACCCUCUGGUCAAAAGUCCAGGUCGGUCAUAAUAGCCUUACUACCCCUUUGCUACAUCUGUCAGUGGGUCAAGGGAAACUAGUGUGUAUCAGAUACGGGACGAGACAGAGAAAAGCUUAUCUGAUUGGACUGAGUAAUGAGGUCACAUGCUGCAACGGCAAAGGGGCGGGGGCGUAUAUGUCACUCGCACACCUGGGAUGCAAACGGCUCAUAAGUACUGAUAAUAACCGCUUGGAGACGUCGGGUAGGUUGGGUGUGUCAAAAGUCCAGAAGUCCUUGUUGGGUUCCUGAAGUGUUGCUACCUACACCCCUUAUCUACCAGUGCUCUCUAGCAACAUGCUUGGAGAACAGGAAGAGGAUCUCUAGAUUUCAUCAGAUCAUUAAACGUGGUCUAAAGCCUGUGAGAUCUUAGCUAGAUCCUAUCUUGUCUACAAUUGAGCACAUUCAGAUUAUUGUUGUAAGGAUGAUAAAACCCUUUUCAAAAUAACCAUGUGUUGUGCUAUGUAUAGGGGCCAUGUGUUGUGCUAUGUGUAGGGGCCAUGUGUUGUGCUAUGUAUAGGGGCCAUGUGUUGUGCUAUGUAUAGGGGCCAUGUGUUGUGCUAUGUAUAGGGGCCAUGUGUUGUGCUAUGUAUAGGGGCCAUGUGUGGUGCUAUGUAUAGGGGCCAUGUGUUGUGCUAUGUAUAGGGGCCAUGUGUUGUGCUAUGUAUAGGGGCCAUGUGUUGUGCUAUGUAUAGGGGCCAUGUGUUGUGCUAUGUAUAGGGGCCAUGUGUUGUGCUAUGUAUAGGGGGCAUGUGUUGUGCUAUGUAUAGGGGCCAUGUGUUGUGCUAUGUAUAGGGGCCAUGUGUUGUGCUAUGUGUAGAGGCCAUGUGUUGUGAUAUGUAUAGGGGCCAUGUGUUGUGCUAUGUAUAGGGGCCAUGUGUUGUGCUAUGUAUAGGGGCCAUGUGUUGUGCUAUGUGUAGAGGCCAUGUAUUGUGAUAUGUAUAGGAGCCAUGUGUUGUGCUAUGUAUAUGGGCCAUGUGUUGUGCUAUGUAUAGGGGCCAUGUG